GAUGAACGCCGGCGGCGCGCCUAAUACAUGCAAGUCGAGCGAACAGAUGAGAAGCUUGCUUCUCUGAUGUUAGCGGCGGACGGGUGAGUAACACGUGGGUAACCUACCUAUAAGACUGGGAUAACUCCGGGAAACCGGGGCUAAUACCGGAUAAUAUUUUGAACCGCAUGGUUCAAUAGUGAAAGACGGUUUCGGCUGUCGCUUAUAGAUGGACCCGCGCCGUAUUAGCUAGUUGGUAAGGUAACGGCUUACCAAGGCGACGAUACGUAGCCGACCUGAGAGGGUGAUCGGCCACACGGGAACUGAGACACGGUCCAGACUCCUACGGGAGGCAGCAGUAGGGAGUCUUCCGCAAUGGGCGAAAGCCUGACGGAGCAACGCCGCGUGAGUGAUGAAGGUCUUCGGAUCGUAAAACUCUGUUGUUAGGGAAGAACAAAUUUGUUAGUAACUGAACAAGUCUUGACGGUACCUAACCAGAAAGCCACGGCUAACUACGUGCCAGCAGCCGCCGUAA
Molecule: ribosomal RNA, 514 nt
Filed under: uncultured bacterium
Lineage: Bacteria
Description: partial 16S ribosomal RNA
Rfam family: Bacterial small subunit ribosomal RNA
Source: RNAcentral